GGUUGUACGGGUACGGGAAUCAGGGUUUGAUUCCGGAGAGGGAGCCUGAGAAACGGCUACCACAUCCAAGGAAGGCAGCAGGCGCGGAAAUUACCAAAUCUAGACAGUAGGAGGUGGUGAAGAGAAGUACUAAGUGGUGGCCUUUGGCUAUCAGCUUGGAAUGAACGUAAUUUAAGCAAUUCGAUGAGUAACUAAUGGAGGGCAAGUCCUGGUGCCAGCAGCCGCGGUAAUUCCAGCUCCAUUGGCGUGAUUUAAAGUUGCUGCGUUUAAAACGCUCGUAGUUGGAUCAUGCGGUAGCAAUUAGUACUUGAUAGCAUGCAGUUGACUGCCAUAGUCGGUGUGCGCUAUCAAGGUUAUGCUAAUUGUUACUAUUUAAACGCAAAUAUGAUAUUUGGCCUUAAAUGAGUCGGAGUGUCAUGUUUUGCGAAGUUGUGCCUUGAAUAAAACAAAGUGCUUAAAGCAGGCGAACGCUUGAAUGUUAUAGCAUGGAACGAACAAACGUGUAUUUGUGUAUGACGUGUGAUAAUGGCGAAUCUCUGGUUUGCCGUUGUUACUGUUAUAUGCAGCACCUACCAAAGUACGAAUGUUGGUUUUCGUAUUCGGUGAUGAUUAAAAGGAGCGAUUGGGGGCAUUGGUAUUUUGACGCGAGAGGUGAAAUUCUAAGACCGUCAAAGGACUAACAAAUGCGAAGGCAUUUGCCCAGAUCGUAUCCAUUAAUCAAGAACGAAAGUGAGAGGUUCGAAGACGAUCAGAUACCGUCGUAGUUCUCACUGUAAACUAUGCCAACUCGGGAUCAGCUUGGUGAUAUCAAGUACUAAGUUGGUCCCCCGGCGAAACCA
Molecule: ribosomal RNA, 839 nt
Filed under: Myxobolus sp. 2 HS-2015
Lineage: Eukaryota; Metazoa; Cnidaria; Myxozoa; Bivalvulida; Myxobolidae
Description: bacterial SSU rRNA
Rfam family: Eukaryotic small subunit ribosomal RNA
Source: RNAcentral